AUUGAACGCUGGCGGCAUGCCUUACACAUGCAAGUCGAACGGCAGCGGGGGAGAAGCUUGCUUUUCCUGCCGGCGAGUGGCGAACGGGUGAGUAAUACAUCGGAACGUGCCCUGUAGUGGGGGAUAACUAGUCGGAAGAUUAGCUAAUACCGCAUACGACCUUAGGGUGAAAGUGGGGGACCGCAAGGCCGCAUGCUAUAGGAGCGGCCGAUGUCGGAUUAGCGAGUUGGUGGGGUAAAGGCCUACCAAGGCGACGAUCAGUAGCUGGUCUGGGAGGACGAUCAGCCACACUGGGACUGAGACACGGCCCAGACUCCUACGGGAGGCAGCAGUGGGGAAUUUUGGACAAUGGGCGAAAGCCUGAUCCAGCAAUGCCGCGUGUGUGAAGAAGGCCUUCGGGUUGUAAAGCACUUUUGUCCGGAAAGAAAUGGCUCUGGUUAAUACCUGGGGUCGAUGACGGUACCGGAAGAAUAAGGACCGGCUAACUACGUGCCAGCAGCCGCCGCCG
Molecule: ribosomal RNA, 508 nt
Filed under: uncultured bacterium
Lineage: Bacteria
Description: partial 16S ribosomal RNA
Rfam family: Bacterial small subunit ribosomal RNA
Source: RNAcentral